This 432-nucleotide ribosomal RNA is filed under the name Drosophila albomicans. Its description in RNAcentral is "partial 12S ribosomal RNA". The record is from RNAcentral. Lineage: Eukaryota; Metazoa; Arthropoda; Insecta; Diptera; Drosophilidae.
AAACUAGGAUUAGAUACCCUAUUAUUUAAAAUAUAAUUAUAAAUACUUAAGUAGUAGUAGUUAUGUUCUUGAAACUUAAAAAAUUUGGCGGUAUUUUAGUCUAUCCAGAGGAACCUGUUUUGUAAUCGAUAAUCCACGAUGGACCUUACUUAAGUUUGUAAUCAGUUUAUAUACCGUCGUUAUCAGAAUAUUUUAUAAGAAUAAAAAUAUUCAAUAAUUUAUAUUAAAAUUUAUAUCAGAUCAAGGUGUAGCUUAUAUUUAAGUAAUAAUGGGUUACAAUAAAAAUAUUUAAACGAAUAAAAUAAUGAAAAAAUUUUUGAAGGUGGAUUUGGCAGUAAAAUUAUAAAGAUUAAUAAUUUGAUUUUAGCUCUAAAAUAUGUACACAUCGCCCGUCGCUCUUAUUAUUAAGGUAAGAUAAGUCGUAACAUAGUA